Molecule: long non-coding RNA, 478 nt
Organism: Armigeres subalbatus
Lineage: Eukaryota; Metazoa; Arthropoda; Insecta; Diptera; Culicidae
Exons: 3
Source: RefSeq, a predicted model, not a curated record
CGCAUCUAUCGCCGUAGAUCAACAUUGCUCGCAACCCUGCGAGAAAAUUGCUAUGACAUUGAAGUGACAGGUAUUCCACCUGUCACCGGGUGAGUGGUCAAACGUGGAUUAAUAGAAAACGUACCUAGUUAUGCUUAUGUCUGCGAAUCUUAAAUUGAAUAAUCAUAUACUAAAUGCUCUACUAUUAAUAUUGGUGAAUAUUCUGUGCAAACCAGUAAUUUAUAUUGAAUUCCUACCGGAGGCACCUGAACUGUACCGCGACUCCUUUGUUUCAAGCUCUUCCAAGAGCCUAUUGUUCAUCAAAACCGGACUAUCCCUAGAAUUGCUAUAGCUCACCACGAAAUUAUAAGAGGGAACUAAACGUGAGUAAAUCUCUGUCUUAUAUUGUUAAAUUUCACUACCUCUAAUAGUAAAGCAGAGGUUCAUAAAAGCAUGAUCGCGGAGCAUUCGAUCAAAUAUUAUAUAAAAAUAUAUUACA